RNAcentral lists this ribosomal RNA (442 nucleotides) under uncultured bacterium. RNAcentral's name for it is "partial 16S ribosomal RNA". It matches the Rfam family "Bacterial small subunit ribosomal RNA", at positions 339 to 795 of the family's 1533-position model. The record is from RNAcentral.
CUACGGGAUGCUGCAGUGGGGAAUAUUGGGCAAUGGGCGCAAGCCUGACCCAGCAACGCCGCGUGAGGGAAGAAGGUUCUCGGAUUGUAAACCUCUGUCCUUGGGGACGAAGAAAGUGACGGUACCCAAGGAGGAAGCUCCGGCUAACUACGUGCCAGCAGCCGCGGUAAUACGUAGGGAGCAAGCGUUGUCCGGAAUUACUGGGCGUAAGGGGUGCGUAGGCGGCAUAUUAAGUCAGGUGUGAAAUAUCCGGGCUCAACCCGAAGGGUGCAUUUGAAACUGGUAUGCUUGAGUGUGAGAGAGGAAAGUGGAAUUCCUAGUGUAGCGGUGAAAUGCGUAGAUAUUAGGAGGAACACCAGUGGCGAAGGCGACUUUCUGGCUCAUAACUGACGCUGAGGCACGAAAGCGUGGGUAGCAAACAGGAUUAGAUACCCCCGUAGUC